CGGGUGAGUAAUGCUUAGGGAUCUGCCCAGUAGUGGGGGACAACUCGAGGAAACUCGAGCUAAUACCGCAUACGCCCUAUGGGGGAAAGUGGAGGAUCUUCGGACUUCACGCUAUUGGAUGAGCCUAAGUCGGAUUAGCUUGUUGGUGAGGUAAAGGCUCACCAAGGCGACGAUCCGUAGCUGGUCUGAGAGGACGAUCAGCCACACUGGGACUGAGACACGGCCCAG
RNAcentral lists this ribosomal RNA (228 nucleotides) under uncultured bacterium. Its description in RNAcentral is "partial 16S ribosomal RNA". It matches the Rfam family "Bacterial small subunit ribosomal RNA", at positions 103 to 334 of the family's 1533-position model. The record is from RNAcentral.